UUUUUGUAUCUUAUCCCAAGUCUUUGGACUAGAUAUGAUA
RNAcentral lists this transfer RNA (40 nucleotides) under Smilax smallii. Its description in RNAcentral is "partial tRNA-Leu". The record is from RNAcentral. Lineage: Eukaryota; Viridiplantae; Streptophyta; Magnoliopsida; Liliales; Smilacaceae.